Molecule: ribosomal RNA, 440 nt
Filed under: uncultured bacterium
Lineage: Bacteria
Description: partial 16S ribosomal RNA
Rfam family: Bacterial small subunit ribosomal RNA
Source: RNAcentral
CCUACGGGAGGCUGCAGUGGGGAAUAUUGCACAAUGGGGGAAACCCUGAUGCAGCGACGCCGCGUGAAGGAAGAAGUAUUUCGGUAUGUAAACUUCUAUCAGCAGGGAAGAAAAUGACGGUACCUGACUAAGAAGCGCCGGCUAACGACGUCCCAGCAGCCGCGGGAAUACGUAGGGGGCACGCGUUCUCCGGAUUUACUGGGUGUAAAGGGAGCGUAGGCGGCGAUGCAAGUCAGAAGUGAAAGCCCGGGGCUCAACUCCGGGACUGCAUUUGAUACUGUGUUGCUAGAUUGCAGGAGAGGUAAGUGGAAUUCCUAGUGUAGCGGUGAAAUGCGUAGAGAUUAGGAGGAACACCAGUGGCGAAGGCGACUUAUUGGACUGUAAAUGACGCUGAGGCUCGAAAGCGUGGGGAGCAAACAGGAUUAGAUACCCUUGUAGUC